Molecule: ribosomal RNA, 209 nt
Filed under: uncultured bacterium
Lineage: Bacteria
Description: partial 16S ribosomal RNA
Rfam family: Bacterial small subunit ribosomal RNA
Source: RNAcentral
CGCGUAGGCGGUCUUUUAAGUUCCGUGUGAAAUCCCUCGGCUCAACUGGGGAACGGCACGGGAAACUGGGAGGCUUGAGUUCGGGAGAGGGAAGCGGAAUUCCGGGUGUAGCGGUGAAAUGCGUAGAUAUCCGGAGGAACACCGGUGGCGAAGGCGGCUUCCUGGACCGACACUGACGCUGAGGCGCGAAAGCUAGGGGGAGCAAACGG